CAGGCCUGUUUUUCCAGCUUCUAGUUUGAGAUUCGUUCCUCCCACAUUUUGACAUCUGCUGUCAAUCAUGUAAAGGAAACACCAACCUAUUUCUUGGGACCAAAUGUCGUAGGCUUCUUUGGUUCAGAGAAAUUGUAAAGCGCAAGACGAAUUCAGUGUAGCCUCCCAAAGGACUGCUCAAAGAUCUCCAGGCAGAUAAGCCAAGCAGGAGAGUAUCAGUGGAAAUCAGUAUUUUCGUCAGGAAUCUCCCAAAAAACAGAACCAAGAGGCUGAGAAGUCUUAAGAUCUUCAGUGAGCAAACUGGAGACCCAGGAGAGCGGAUGGUAUAAGUUCCAGUCCGAAAUCCAGCAGGCUUGAGACCCAAGAGGAGCCAGUUUUUCAGUUUGAGUCCAAAGGCAGAAAGACUAAUGCUGCAGCUUAAGCAGUCAGAUAGGAUGACUUCCCUCUUACUUAGCCUUUUUUUUUCUGUUCAAGUCUUCAGUUGAUUGAACGAGGCCCACCCAUAUUAAGGAGGGUCUUCUGCUUAACUCAGUCUAUUGAUUCAAAUGUUAAUCUCAUCCAAAACACCCUCACAGACAUAUCAGAAAUAAUGUUUGACCAAAAGUCUAGAUGUCUUGUGGCCCAGUCAAGUUGAUAUGUAAAAUUAACCAUCAUGCCAAAUUUUUGCCUCAACUCAUCUUUUAAACUUUGUAUUUAUUUCUUUUGCAAUCACAUUUUUUUCUCUGAACGUCCUUUAUAGAGGUAGAACAAUGCCAUUCUUUCAUCAAUGAAGUAUAUUCUCUUAACUCUGUGAGAAUUUUAAUUAUUUAUUUUUUAAUUUUUCGUCUGCUUUCU
This 834-nucleotide long non-coding RNA is filed under the name Equus asinus (donkey). RNAcentral's name for it is "lncRNA (ENSEASG00005031025.1)". Lineage: Eukaryota; Metazoa; Chordata; Mammalia; Perissodactyla; Equidae. The record is from RNAcentral.